AGCAGCCGCGGUAAUUCCAGCUCCAAUAGCGUAUAUUAAAGUUGUUGCAGUUAAAAAGCUCGUAGUUGAAUUUCGGGGUUAGCAAGUUGGUCGUGCCUUCGGUAUGCACUGGCUUUGCUGAUUCCUCUUUCUUGAAGAACUGUGAUGCUAUUAAUUUGGUGUUGCAGGGAAACAGGACUGUUACUUUGAAAAAAUUAGAGUGUUUAAAGCAGGCUAACGCUUGAAUACAUUAGCAUGGAAUAAUGAAAUAGGACGUUUGAUCCUAUUUUGUUGGUUUCUAGGAUUGACGUAAUGAUUAAUAGGGAUAGUUGGGGGCAUUAGUAUUCAAUUGUCAGAGGUGAAAUUCUUGGAUUUAUUGAAGACUAACUACUGCGAAAGCAUUUGCCAAGGAUGUUUUCAUUAAUCAAGAACGAAAGUUAGGGGAUCGAAGACGAUCAGAUACCGUCGUAGUCUUAACCAUAAACUAUGCCGACUAGGGAUCGGAUGAUGUUAAUUUUUAAUGA
RNAcentral lists this ribosomal RNA (503 nucleotides) under uncultured Glomus. Its description in RNAcentral is "SSU rRNA". It matches the Rfam family "Eukaryotic small subunit ribosomal RNA", at positions 569 to 1074 of the family's 1831-position model. The record is from RNAcentral. Lineage: Eukaryota; Fungi; Glomeromycota; Glomeromycetes; Glomerales; Glomeraceae.